Molecule: non-coding RNA, 148 nt
Organism: Homo sapiens (human)
Lineage: Eukaryota; Metazoa; Chordata; Mammalia; Primates; Hominidae
Rfam family: Metazoan signal recognition particle RNA
About the family: The signal recognition particle (SRP) is a universally conserved ribonucleoprotein. It is involved in the co-translational targeting of proteins to membranes.
Source: Rfam
GCCAGGUGUGGCAGUGCACGCCUGUAGUCCCAGCUACUGGGGAGGCUGAGGCAGGAGAAUUGCUUGAACUGGGGAGGCAGAGGCUGCAGUGAGCCCAGAUUGUGCCACUGCACUCCAGCCUCAGUGACAGAGCGAGACCCUGUCUCAA